RNAcentral lists this ribosomal RNA (102 nucleotides) under uncultured bacterium. Its description in RNAcentral is "partial 16S ribosomal RNA". The record is from RNAcentral.
GGUACACACCGCCCGUCAAGUCCACCUGAAUUGUCUUCACCCGAAGUCCGUAGGCUUAACCGCAAGGAAAGAGCGGACCGAAGGUGAGGGGGUAAGGGGACU